AGUGAACGCUGGCGGCGUGCUUAACACAUGCAAGUCGAACGAGAACGGAAUAUAGCUUGCUAUAUUUGUCAGCUAAGUGGCGCACGGGUGAGUAAUGUAUAGAUAACCUGCCCUUAAGAAAGGAAUAACAGUUGGAAACGACUGCUAAUGCCCUAUAUGCCUUUAAUACAUAAGUAUGCAAGGGAAACGCUUUAGUGCUUAAGGAUGGGUCUGUAUGGUAUCAGCUUGUUGGUGAGGUAAUGGCUCACCAAGGCUAUGACGCCUAACUGGUUUGAGAGGAUGAUCAGUAACACUGCAACUGAGACACGGUCCAGAUUCCUACGGGAGGCAGCAGUGGGGAAUAUUGCACAAUGGACGAAAGUCUGAUGCAGCAACGCCGCGUGGAGGAUGACACAUUUCGGUGCGUAAACUCCUUUUAUAUAGGAAGAUAAUGACGGUACUAUAUGAAUAAGCACCGGCUAACUCCGUGCCAGCCGCCGCCGUAA
Molecule: ribosomal RNA, 485 nt
Filed under: uncultured bacterium
Lineage: Bacteria
Description: partial 16S ribosomal RNA
Rfam family: Bacterial small subunit ribosomal RNA
Source: RNAcentral